Molecule: non-coding RNA, 5660 nt
Organism: Podarcis lilfordi (Lilford's wall lizard)
Lineage: Eukaryota; Metazoa; Chordata; Lepidosauria; Squamata; Lacertidae
Source: the annotation of a GenBank genome assembly
GGCCUAUCUUUAGGCAGGCAGAGUUAGUGGUGGGACAUCUACUAUGAUUGGUGCCCUCCAUCUGAUUGAGACUACAGUACUAUCAGCCCCAGGUUGCCAAAGGCUGAUGGAGAAUUUAAUCUCUCAGGUCUCUCUCCUAUUUGUUCUCCACAUCCUCGGCCUUCAACCUCCUACUUCCUUGCAGGGUAGAGAAAUGGUGCUAGGCCACAUCUCUUAAAAAUGCUAAUUAAAUGAGGAAGAAGAAAAAGGAGGACAUGUUCCGGAGCAUGUGCAGAGUUUAUUCUCCUCAAUCUUCAGUAUCCACAAGUCUCCCUCCUGCUCCCACCUGGGGAUCGAAUACCAGUUUUAAUCCCAGCGCCCCCCUCACUCGUCUGUCUUGGGAGCAAGUCCCGCUGGUGGGGUUGCUUCCAAGUUGGCCAUGCCCGGGAUUGGGUUGGAAAGCUACACUUCUGCGCAGGUUGACUUGGGAACAAGUCUACCGCUGACAUUCGUUGGGGCUUUACUUCGGAGUAAACACGCCCAGGACUUUUGGGGGGGCGGGGGUGAGAGGAUCCCUCCUGGCGGGUGGGAGCCACCGUGGGCGCCGAAGCCCCUCCUCCCCAGAGGCAAGAUCGCUCUUCCCCCCGCUCCGCACGUGCUCCCCCGGCGGCCUUUUCCGGGAGGGGGCUCGGCCAGCGGAGUUGCCGUCGCCCGGUUGGAGCCGGUGAGUCACUCGGUGGCUGCAGCUCCUGGAACAGGAGUAGCCCAGCUGGGCUGGGCCGAGCGGAGCCGCGGGCGGGGAAAGAGAAGCACCAGAAGCAGGAAGUGAGGCGGGGAGAGAGAGAGACACACACACGCACACACGGAGCCCGAGCAAGCGAGCGGCUGAGCCCGGCGCUCCUCUGCCGAGAAGUUGCCUCCCCCGCCCCCCCCCCCCGCCGCGCGCACUCCCGCCGGGCCCGGGGAAAAAAGUUUCCCUGGCCGGCCGCCUCGCCUCCGGCGGCUGGAUGACCGCAGUGCCUCGCGAGGGUCUCGCCGCCGCCGCUUCUGCUGAUCCUGUCGUCCCCCGCCGGCUGUCCCCAUGGAGGACAGGAGCCCCCGCUGGAGCGGCCGCCCGCCCAUCAUCGGUGAGUGCUGCGCUUCUCCGUCUCCUUCCUGCGCCCAUCACCGCGGAGUUGGGGCGGGGGAGGCGCGCGAGGAGGAGGCUCCUGCUGCUGGCCGCUGCCGCCGCAGCCACGGCUUCCUCCCUCCGCGGGAAGUUCAGCUUGUUGCUGGCUGUCUGGACUGCUGUGGAUUUCGGACAGGGGGGUGGGUGGAGGAAACUUGUAAUAGGAAGGGGGCGGGGGCUCAAGUCCCCGCCUGUGUGGUUGGCUGACUUCUCUCCGUGCCGAAAGAAGGAGCUCUGUACAUGCUCAGAGAGGUGAACUAUUUUAGAACCAUAUCUGUGUAAUAAUGGCAAAUAGGAGUCAUAGUUGUUGUUGUUGUUGUUGUUGUUGUUUUAAAGGGAAAAGGUUUGUGGAGUGGUAUUAUUGGUUGAUAGUAGCCCUGAUUUUUAAGGUGAAAACCUUUGUUUGGACCAAGCCCUUGGGCUGAAAUCUCCCACUCUAACCUGGAUGCACUUUUUAUUGAUACCAAAAGUGUGAGGGUUGGUUGCGGUUUCUCAGGGGUGACAGGAACACACUCUACAAGUGUUCUUUUUAAGCUUUUCUCCAGGCUUAGGGGAAAGUGGAAUUGAAGCAGGUUCCAUUGGUCAGCCUUUUGGCUUGGUUGGGUUCAGCCUGAGGAGUCCUAGAAUCAGUUGAAUGUAUUUUUGGGAAGUUUGGAGACAGCUGUGGUAGGUUAGCAGCAUGAGAUCUAGGCACAUGGAUUAGCCUGCUUUCGGGAGGCCAUGCGAGAGAGACUGGCACAGUGCAUCUUGGAGCAUGUGUUUCUUCCAGCCUGCCUAGCUUCUCCAUUCUGUUUGCUACCAAAUUCCCAUCCCAUGGGAUCUUAACCUCCAACAAACUUUUACAAUAUCUGUUAAUCUAGGAUACACUCUGCCACAUAAUGCUACAGAAGGAUUACCUUGUUAAAAAAGCUGAUUAGCAACUUGUGUCCAUUUUGUUAUAACAAAUUUAAAGUGCACACACGUAAUGGGAAUAGAUUUUUAACAUGCAACAACUUUUUUGCAAAAUCUCUGCUGAGUGUGGAAAAAAAUGCCAGAGACACCCAUUCUCAAUUAGUGCUUUUGAGCAGUGUUAGAAACUCAAAUAUAUAAGCUAGGUGCCAAAUGGCACCUUAAAUAUAGGUUGCGGUCGCCACAACAGAAUGUCUGUUCACCAAGGGAUUGGACUAGAUGACCCUUGGGGUCCCUUCCAAUGCGACAAUUCUAUGAUUCUAUGAUUUUGUGAUUUCAACUACAUUGCUUGACUGUAGCUUGCUCUUACAACAGUUCACUUGCCCCAGUAUGCGAGAAGGAAAAGCUCACCCCUAGUGGAAAUUGCAUUAGUUUUUAUUAAGGCAGGUUUUAAAAAUAUGCUUGCCAACCUGGCGCCCAGAAAUCUUGUAGUCGCAAUUGGACCCAUGCUGAAAGCAAAACACACCUGGCUAAUUUCUAACACUGCUUCUGGGUCUGUUUGUGCUUAUAUCAGAUGACUUCUAAACGUCAUGAAAUGUUAUGUCUGAACCAGUAGCAGCCCCCAGAAAUUUGGGCAUUUGGGGAAGUGGCUGGAGGCAUGCAACCUACCAGCUUGGAUGCUCGUGCUGUUGCACUUCUAACACUGAACUCCCACCCAUCCCUGAUUUGCCCACGUGUGUCUUUGUGACUUGGAGAGGGAAGUAGAAAUAGAUUCUUAUGCCAAAGAAAGAUUAGAAGUGAGCAGAUCCAUUCAUACAAGUAUUUGAAGGUCUGCUUCAUAUUGAUGGGGUGAAUUUCUUUUCUUCUAUUCCAGACAUAGGACCUGAACCAGUGGGUUCAAAUCAUAAGAAAAAGGAUUAAGAUUAGGACGAACUUAUUUUGCAGUGGAGCAGACUGUCUCAGAAAAUGGGAGACUCUCCUUUGUUAAUAGUUCUUAAGUAGAGACUGGAUAGCCAUCUGCCAAGGAUGGUGAAGUAGUGGAUUCCUUGCAUCACCAGGGUGUUGGACUAGAUAACCUUUCCUUGCAGCUCUGAUUCUGAGAAAUGCUUCUGAAUUUGCUGCUUAAUAUCUAAGAAAGGGGUAAACUCUGUUAAGUACACCUUACACAUGUAAAGUAGUUCAGGAGUAUACUUGUAAAGUUGAGACAACGAUGCUGGGAGAGAGUUUGUUUUGAUUCCUGUACCCGCUCCCCUCUUUAAAAACCAGUGCAUUUCUAAGGCGGUUUACAAUGUAAGCAAUAAAACCAAUUCAAAAGGAACAUCAGAAAGUACUUCAGCAUAUAAAAAGUUUUAAAACGGAACCUAAGAGCCAGCAUAGAGACAAUAAGACUUAAUUAUAAAAAGAACAAAUGAGCAAAAUUCACAGCAUGUCUCAAAACAGCAAGAGAAGGACUUGGUGCCAUUGCAUGGACAAUCCAGACAGCACAAUUUAUAACCUACCAAGCCUAAUGGAUAUCACUAACCAUGUGCCAUGGUCUGUCAGUUGCUGGGCAACAUCCUUGUUGUGUGGUCUUGGGUCAGCUGCACAACCAGGGAGAGCGCUAUGGUACUCAGGUCCUGCCUGUGGACUUCCCUUUGGGGCAUCUGGUUGGCCACAGAUAGAAUAGAAUGCUGAACCAGAUAGGCCUCUGAUUCUUAGGUUUUUGAGCCCUUGGUGGGCCACCACACGACUGGUGAAUCGUAGUUAGCUUUCAGAGCAAGACAUUGUACAGGAUUGGGGUAAGCAAUAGAAGAAUGCAGUACUUUCCCUCCAGGUGUGUGUGACUUGAAUGUGUCUUCAAAUAUCGCUGAGAUUCAUUAAAACCAAGAGGAAAGAGAAAUACAUUAAGAACAUCCCGUCCCCUUCUAAAAGCCCACACAGAUAGUUAAAGGCCAAAGGCCUGGUUCUAGAGGAAUGUUUUUGCCUGGCGCCUGAAUAUAUGUAGUAAAGGCACUGGGCUAGCGUCCCUGGGAAGAGUAUUCCACAAACUGGGGAGCCAUCAUAUAAAAGGCCUGUUCUUGUCUUGUUACCCUCUGGACCUCUCCUGGAGGGGGCAGCCCAGGGUGUGUCCUCAUAGACCCAUGUGUCGGGGGGGGGAUAUACUUUGCCUGGCCAAAAAUAACAUGGAAAAUGAGCAAGAGCAAAGACAGGUAGUAAUGCACCUAGGAGGCCAAAGUCCUGUGAUGAAAUCAUCUUGCCCCCCCAAACAACUUUAUUUAUUUAUUGACAUUAAGAAAGAGGCAAUCUUCAGUGACACAUGCAUACUGCAAUGCAUUGUAUGUGCAGCUGCCUUUGGAAACGGUCCAGAAAUGCAUAUUACUCCAAAGCAGAGUGGCAGGGUUGUUAACUGGAAUGGGACCAUUUGAUAUUGCAGCAGUGUUUUGUUAUCUGCACUGGCUUCUAGUCUGUUUCCAGAUCUUUAAAGACCAUGGCAGUUUGGGGUCAGAAGGAUUCUGAAGUAUCGCUCUGGACCAUCCUCAGUGGUUCUUUUCCUUUGCCUCUCACCCCCGAAUGAGAUGCAGAGGUGGUUACCAGGAAGGGGAUCUUUUCAGUGGUGGCACCCAGCUUGUGUAAUGCUCUUCCCAAAGAGGCUUGCCAGGAGCCUCCUUUGUACUGUUUUCAGUGCUAAGUGAAUACCUUUUUUAUUCUACCAGGCCUUUUAAAUCCAUUGAUUUUUAUUCUUUGCUGCUGGAGUUUUUAUGCUGUUUUACAUUUGCGCCCCCCCCCCCGAGUUUAUAAUUGCUUGUUAAAUGUUUUUAUUGUUGUUGUAAAGCCGCUCAGAGAACUUUGUUACUGGGUGGCAUUUGAAUACUGUGAAUAAAUAAAUAAAACCGGCUUCUAAUGGGAAAGGACAAAGACUGAGGCAGAAAGGGAGAAUCUCCAGCCUCCCUGACAAUGGGACUUGUUUGGAAGCAGCGUUGGGGCUAUUAGCUUCCUUGCUUCUUCUUGUUUCGGAUAGCUGGCUCUUGCUUUGAAGUGCACGCUGUCUCUGUUUUCACUGGCUUGCCUGGGAGAGAUAAUUAGAAGGGCCAGGACUUAAUUAUUUGCUCCUUUCAGCCUCCGCUCCAUUUUAUAACUUAUCUAAGUCAAAUAGAGGUGAUUGCUACAGAAAGGAGCUCUGCUGUGUUGAUAGAGCUUGGCUCUGGAGAUCAACCUGGUGACUCUUGUGUACUUAGAACAGAUCCAAAUCUAGUGGGAUGAGACUGGGAAUCCAGACUGCUUUGCUUGUGGCUGGGUGACUUCAGAUAGAUAGAUAGAUAGAUAGAUAGAUAGAUAGAUAGAUAGAUAGCUGUGCCUUGAUUCACCUUCCAGUGCAACAGAGAGUGAUGUUUACUGUUGUCUAAAACUGGUGGUAUCUCUGCAACUGUGGAGCUGGUAGAACAACGGAUAUUGGUUGACAGUGAAGUUUGGGUCAUUGUGCUCCUGAUAUGCAUAAAGUUGAAGGCCUUGUAUCCUGAUUUGCUCUUGCUUUCAAGGUUAUCUUAUCCAGCUUCUCUGCAUUUCACCCUGGCUGUUGAAACACACCUCUUUGGUACUGCCAGUCCUGGGUCAGGCUUUCUUCUCCCACCACUGCCAUACCCCCACA